Anas platyrhynchos (mallard) is the source of this 1769-nucleotide long non-coding RNA. RefSeq lists it as uncharacterized. The record is from RefSeq and is a predicted model, not a curated record. NCBI's taxonomy places the organism in Eukaryota, Metazoa, Chordata, Aves, Anseriformes, Anatidae.
CUCCUAACCACUGCCUCUCUGUGCUGUCUUCCCCCACAACAUCCCUUACUCUCACCUCCCCAGGACAGCUGAGAGCCCAGUGAAACAGGCUUCUGCCACCAGAAAUAUCCUGGGGCCCAUUUUAAAAAUCAAGCUUAAAACAAAACUUCAGCAAGAUGAUGACAGAGGGUAUAUGAAGAGAUGAAAUGAAAGGCAAGUGGAGAAGGUACAGAAGCUUGGUAGGAUGGAGAGUCUGGCAUCAAAGAUGUUCCCAUCAAGAGAGAAACAUUUAAAAGAACAAACCACAACAUAGGAGCAAUGUAAAAAAGCAAGAUACGAAGGGAAGCUGUGUAGUUGUCUGCAAGUGAAGGUGGUUGUUCUGAAAUACCAGUGGUAAUUAUAAAACUGUUUUUUUUUGUUGUUGUUGUUGUUGUUUGUUUUUUGUUGUUGUUGUUGUUGUUUUUUUCAGUGCACAAAUGAUAACAAAGCUGCAAGGCUCAGAAACUCAGUUCAGUGAUGUUCAGAAAUGCACUCCUGCUUCGUUUCUUCCCCAAAAUCUCUUGAAGUUGGCUGCUCUGCAGGUGAUUUCUCCACAGCAGAGACUGGAGACUGACUCACAAGAAGGACAGAUAGUAUAGGAGUUACAUUGUUGUUCAUCAGCCAUCGUUUCAGUGUGUUAGUUUAAGAUUUAACUAAAAAAUAAUUUAUUGCUAUUCUCCCCUUAGUGUUGAAAAAGAUCUUGUAUCACUAGGGUCCAGGAACGUGUAAACAGUUUCUUCAUGGGUGAACUUGCCUAAGGGAGUAAAUGUAUUUUUGCUGGGCUAAUGGUUGUAUCUGGGGAGAAAGUCACAUAGCCCACGGAUAUUAUUUCUCUCUCUUUUUUUUUUUUUUUUUUUUUUGUCAGUUACGGGAAAAAGAUAUACGUGGGUCACUGAGAGCAAAAAUUAAAGGUCAUGCAAAUUGAGCCCCAGUCAUGCUUGCUUUUCUUCACUACUAUUCUGCUCCCAUUGAAAGAGCGAUGAGAUCUCACCUAUAAGAGUAGGCACCAAGAGAGAAAAGCUUCUCUUGCUUUUAUGGACACAGCAACAAAGCACAGGAAAUCUUUGAGUUUCAGGGUUUACCACUCAGCACCAGGGCUUCACGCAUGGUCCCCAGUCAGUGAAGCUGAAAGAGUUCAGCAGAGAUUAAGUGGAUGCUCUCUGAAUUAGAAUAGAAAUGAAUUAGAAUAGAAAACCCUUUCGGUCUGUCAAAGAAGCACUUUUGUCUUUCAGUCAAGACAAAGUAUUAAUACAAUUAAAGAAGAGAGUUAAUGUGUUGCUAGAGAACAUUAAUAAAUAUUAAAAAUAUGUACAUGUAUGGAUCUUCUGAUUAUUUUCACUUUUAUUAAUACCAGUUUAUUUUUAGUUAACUAUGUCAGACUAUGUCUAUCUGUCUGGUUCCUUUGCAUGUCUUUGCCCAACUCCAUUUCCCUUGCACAUAAUCAGAGCUAUCUCAUUUCUUACAUUGGUUCAUGAAACAGAAGUUGGAAGUACUGCUAAAGGGAUCCAUCAAAGAGAUUUAAUCCUUGUAGGAACUGGAUCUGAAUUUAGACUUUUGAAAUGUUUGGAGUUAUACUGAUGUCAGUCAGAUAUCUGAGCCAUAAUUUCUGGACAUAUCAAUCAGAUAGUCUUUCCUCUGCAAAUUAUACAAUUUAUAAGUGAUGUCAAAUUAAAAAAAAAAAAAAUCAAAAAUAUAAAUAAUCAUUCAUUUAAAAAUCAGUGAAUUUACAGGCAAGUUUUUACUUUUUUUGU